Schistosoma mansoni is the source of this 74-nucleotide non-coding RNA. Lineage: Eukaryota; Metazoa; Platyhelminthes; Trematoda; Strigeidida; Schistosomatidae. The record is from Rfam.
GGCUCCGUAGCUCAGUCGGUUAGAGCAUCGUGCUGAUAACGCGAGUGUCGAGGGACCGAUCCCCGCCGGAGCCA